AUGGGGCAAGCACAGGGGAUUGCUACUCCCAGCUGCUGCCUGCUCUUCCUUCUCUCUCUCUCUGUUCUCCUCCUCUUGGUGGCCCCAUGUCCCGGGGAGACCUUGACUAUCCCAUGGUUAGGACUGCGCCCAGGUUCUCAUGUAGGCAGCGCUUAUUCAGCUUCUCCCCUGAAAACUGGUUCUGAGCCUUGGGGGAAUCCCAGGGCUCUGCCUGCAGGCCGCCCAUCUCGGCAGUACCGUUUUCUUAAGCAUCAAGGCUUUUCCAGGGAUGUGGCCACAGGUGCUGGCUCUGCAUCUCUUCAGUGGAAUCCUGAUUCUGAGUCUUGGAGAGGUCACCUGGGUACAUUGGCUCUAUAUAUUUCAUGAGGGAGCUGCCAGGCUACACCCAGGAGGUCAACCCAGCCACUCUGCAGGCAUUUCUUAGGAAGCUGUUUAUUGCAGCAUUUCACACUAGCUUUCUU
Molecule: long non-coding RNA, 461 nt
Filed under: Anser cygnoides (Swan goose)
Lineage: Eukaryota; Metazoa; Chordata; Aves; Anseriformes; Anatidae
Description: lncRNA (ENSACDG00005002067.1)
Source: RNAcentral